AACACGGUAUCUCCUCAAGGGGACUUCUCCUAUGGCUGCACAUGGUUGGAAAUGCCUCUAAGUAAUCACUGAUUUUGCUUUGCUCAUAGUUNUAUUUCUCAGGCCUGUGAUAAGGCACUACAAGACAGCA
Molecule: small nucleolar RNA, 130 nt
Organism: Cavia aperea (Brazilian guinea pig)
Lineage: Eukaryota; Metazoa; Chordata; Mammalia; Rodentia; Caviidae
Source: Ensembl